ACUUGUGCACUUUCUGUGCCCCACCUAGUGAUCCACUAGUACAUAUCCUCCGACGUGACAUCGCUGUGCUACGUAUGAAGAAGAAAAGAUUGAUUAAGACACAAAUUGCUCCUCUCUUGUUGCCAUUGUGCUUUCAGCCAUUGUUGUGCCGUGUGUUUAAAAUUUAGGACAGUAUAUAAUAUAGAAUAACAGGUACAGCUACGAAUAUAACACUACAAUAAAUCUUAUAGGAAUG
RNAcentral lists this long non-coding RNA (235 nucleotides) under Neodiprion lecontei (redheaded pine sawfly). Its description in RNAcentral is "uncharacterized LOC124293832, transcript variant X1". Lineage: Eukaryota; Metazoa; Arthropoda; Insecta; Hymenoptera; Diprionidae. The record is from RNAcentral.